UACGUAGGCAGCAAGCGUUGUUCGGAGUUACUGGGCGUAAAGGGUGCGUAGGCGGUUGUUUAAGUUUGGUGUGAAAUCUCCCGGCUCAACCGGGAGGGUGCGCCGAAUACUGAACGGCUAGAGUGCGGGAGAGGAGAGUGGAAUUCCCGGUGUAGUGGUGAAAUGCGUAGAUAUCGGGAGGAACACCAGUGGCGAAGGCGACUACCUGGCCUGUUCUUGACGCUGAGGCGCGAAAGCUAGGGGAGCAAACGGG
Molecule: ribosomal RNA, 253 nt
Filed under: uncultured bacterium
Lineage: Bacteria
Description: partial 16S ribosomal RNA
Rfam family: Bacterial small subunit ribosomal RNA
Source: RNAcentral